GAUGAACGCUAGCGGCAGGCUUAAUACAUGCAAGUCGAGGGGUAUUGGGAGCUUGCUCCCAAGAGACCGGCGCACGGGUGCGUAACGCGUAUGCAACCUACCUUGAACAGGGGGAUAGCCCAGAGAAAUUUGGAUUAAUACCCCAUGGCAUAUUUGGAUGGCAUCAUCCGAUUAUUAAAGUCACAACGGUUCAAGAUGGGCAUGCGUCCCAUUAGCUUGUUGGUAAGGAACGGCUUACCAAGGCUACGAGUGGGUAGGGGUCCUGAGAGGGAGAUCCCCCANACUGGUACUGAGACACGGACCAGACUCCUACGGGAGGCAGCAGUGAGGAAUAUUGGUCAAUGGCCGCAAGGCUGAACCAGCCAUCGCCGCGUGCAGGAUGAAGCAUCUAU
RNAcentral lists this ribosomal RNA (392 nucleotides) under uncultured bacterium. Its description in RNAcentral is "bacterial SSU rRNA". It matches the Rfam family "Bacterial small subunit ribosomal RNA", at positions 28 to 420 of the family's 1533-position model. The record is from RNAcentral.